This 261-nucleotide ribosomal RNA is filed under the name uncultured Atopobium sp. RNAcentral's name for it is "partial 16S ribosomal RNA". It matches the Rfam family "Bacterial small subunit ribosomal RNA", at positions 97 to 354 of the family's 1533-position model. Lineage: Bacteria; Bacillati; Actinomycetota; Coriobacteriia; Coriobacteriales; Atopobiaceae. The record is from RNAcentral.
GGCGAACGGCUGAGUAACACGUGGGCAACCUGCCCUUUGCACUGGGAUAGCCUCGGGAACCGAGGUUAAUACCGGAUACUCCAUAUUUGUCGCAUGGCGAAUAUGGGGAAAAGGCUCCGGCGGCAAAGGAUGGGCCCGCGGCCUGUUAGCUAGUUGGUGGGGUAGUGGCCUACCAAGGCAAUGAUGGGUAGCCGGGUUGAGAGACCGACCGGCCAGAUUGGGACUGAGACACGGCCCAGACUCCUACGGGAGGCAGCAGGC